GCAAACUUGGUCAUUUAGAGGAAGUAAAAGUCGUAACAAGGUUUCCGUAGGUGAACCUGCGGAAGGAUCAUUAUUGAGGACUGGGCUCCCAUUAUGGAGCCCUGAGCUUCCAACCAAUGUAUUCCAUUACCAAUUUGCUUUGGCAGCCUUGGCAUCAUGGCCAUUUAGCGGCUGCCAGAGAUGAUUUAAUGCUGAUACAAUAAUUGGGGUCUGAGUAAUAUAGUAAAUCAAAAAAACUUUCAACAAUGGAUCUCUUGGUUCUGGCAUCGAUGAAGAACGCAGC
Molecule: unclassified non-coding RNA, 283 nt
Filed under: uncultured fungus
Lineage: Eukaryota; Fungi
Description: partial contains small subunit ribosomal RNA, internal transcribed spacer 1, and 5.8S ribosomal RNA
Rfam family: Eukaryotic small subunit ribosomal RNA (bases 1-73)
Source: RNAcentral